RNAcentral lists this ribosomal RNA (465 nucleotides) under uncultured bacterium. RNAcentral's name for it is "partial 16S ribosomal RNA". It matches the Rfam family "Bacterial small subunit ribosomal RNA", at positions 28 to 507 of the family's 1533-position model. The record is from RNAcentral.
GACGAACGCUGGCGGCGUGCUUAACACAUGCAAGUCGAACGGAAAGGCCCUGCUUGCCGGGUACUCGAGUGGCGAACGGGUGAGUAACACGUGGGUGAUCUGCCCUGCACUUCGGGAUAAGCCUGGGAAACUGGGUCUAAUACCGGAUAGGAGCCAUUUUUAGUGUGAUGGUUGGAAAGUCUUUUCGGUGUAGGAUGAGCUCGCGGCCUAUCAGCUUGUUGGUGGGGUAAUGGCCUACCAAGGCGGCGACGGGUAGCCGGCCUGAGAGGGUGGACGGCCACAUUGGGACUGAGAGACGGCACAGACUGCUACGGGAGGAAGCAGUGGGGAAGAUUGCACAAUGGGCGCAAGCCUGAUGAAGCGACGCCGCGGGGGGGAGGACGGCCUUCGGGUUGUAAACUCCUUUCGCUAGGAACGAAGCUUUUUGUGACGGUACCUAGAUAAGAAGCACCGGCUAACUACGUG